This 27-nucleotide small RNA is filed under the name Bombyx mori (domestic silkworm). RNAcentral's name for it is "ovarian small RNA-17879". The record is from RNAcentral. Lineage: Eukaryota; Metazoa; Arthropoda; Insecta; Lepidoptera; Bombycidae.
GUGCAUCCCGUCACUUGACCGACUGUC